RNAcentral lists this long non-coding RNA (202 nucleotides) under Ricinus communis (castor bean). RNAcentral describes it as "long non-coding RNA (RCOM_LNC002427)". The record is from RNAcentral. Lineage: Eukaryota; Viridiplantae; Streptophyta; Magnoliopsida; Malpighiales; Euphorbiaceae.
AUGAGAUCUUUAAUGCUGUCCUAAAAUAAUUCAUGAUUUAUUCGAAAAAAAAAAUUAUAGCAAUUGAUAAGAUCAGAUAAGUCUUAUAGUAUAAAGUAUAAACUCUUAAUUCAAAUAUUGAAGUUAUUGUAUAAAUAUAAACUAUAAACGCGAGAAUUCUGGAUCACCCCAUUUUUUUUCAUUCUAAACUUUUUUUCCAUUG